This is a long non-coding RNA of Scleropages formosus (Asian bonytongue), 1053 nucleotides long. RefSeq lists it as uncharacterized. Lineage: Eukaryota; Metazoa; Chordata; Actinopteri; Osteoglossiformes; Osteoglossidae. The transcript is spliced from 4 exons. The record is from RefSeq and is a predicted model, not a curated record.
CGUUACACUACGUUACAAAAUAUAGGCGUUUUAUCUCAAGCCGGUACGGCCUCAAGCAGCCCCAAAGCUGUUCUGUUUGACCCGGAUCGGAGAGGCGGUCGCGCGCCACAUGCGUGAGACUCUCGUCAGUUUACACUUUGCCUCAGAGGCACAGGUGCACGUCUUUGCGGGCGAAGGCCUUACGGCGAGCACCGCGUUGGAACGGGAGGCGUAGGCGAGAGCUUGUGCGUAAGGAGCGACCCGACCCAGCAGGGGGCAGCAGUGGGAUGCCGGGUGCAAGUGGGAGGAGCUGAUGAAUGGAUGCAAAUGUCUACAAAGGAGUGGGACCUCAUCAGAAAGAUGAGGCGGAAAGGAAGGAUGAAUUAGAAAAAAUUCACUCUGUGUUCAUUAGGAUGUGUUCCCCUCACUCUCUCUUGUUCUGUCUCGACACCCGCCCUCCUGUGGAAUCUAACAUCCUCCAAUCGGGUUUUGUGUUGUUAAGGGGGACACCUUUUCUGCACCAAUAAGAACUAUAUAUGUGGACGCUGGUAUCAUAAUAUUCUGACAUGGGUACAAGUGAAAUCACCGCAGCCCAAGAGGCUAGUUUAGAGAUGCCUGACAGAGAUGUGGGGGACCCCUUGACAUGGCCUGGCCUCCCACAAACACUGCAGAGGCAGAGAAGCCAUGCAAGGGCCUGGAAGGAAGCCAACACUGUGGCAGUGCAGUAGUUAAAUUAUUAACAGAGAGCGAGAGAGAGAGAGAGGUGGAAAGAGUAAGAGAGACACAAAGAGAAGGAGAUAAUAGGAGAGAUGGGAGCAGAGAUUGGGGAACAGAAAUAGAAAAUAAAAAAUAGAGAGUCUGUUGGCACAGACUGUCUCAUGUCAUGCCAACAGAAUCAUCUUGAGAAUUGAAAAAGAGGCAAAAAAUGAGAAAGGGAGAGAAAGAGGGAGCGGAACAGAGUGAGAGAUUCUUUGCUGGUUUUGGUUCGGCUCCAAAGAGUUAAUGUGGCGAAGGCUGAUGGAUAAGGGUGUCAGCAACGAGACCCACUUCCCAGCAGGGUUCCAGAGGUUACUU